Molecule: ribosomal RNA, 407 nt
Filed under: uncultured bacterium
Lineage: Bacteria
Also listed under: 1 other name
Description: bacterial SSU rRNA
Rfam family: Bacterial small subunit ribosomal RNA
Source: RNAcentral
UGGGGAAUAUUGGGCAAUGGAGGAAACUCUUACCCAGCAAUGCCGCGUGAAUGAUGAAGAUCGUAAGAUUGUAAAAUUCUUUAGUCAGGGAUGAAGAUAGUGACGUUACCUGAAGAAUAAGCUCCGGCUAACUACGUGCCAGCAGCCGCGGUAAUACGUAGGGAGCGAGCGUUGUCCGGAAUGACUGGGCGUAAAGGGUGUGUAGGUGGUUUGGUAAGUUAAAAGUGUAAUGCCUGGGCUUAACUUGGGCGCUGCUUUUGAUACUGCUAGACUUGAGUGCAGUAGAGGUUAAUGGAAUUCCUAGUGUAGCGGUGGAAUGCGUAGAUAUUAGGAGGAACACCAGAGGCGAAGGCGAUUAACUGGACUGUAACUGACACUGAGACACGAAAGCAUGGGGAGCAAACAGG